This 458-nucleotide ribosomal RNA is filed under the name uncultured Alphaproteobacteria bacterium. Its description in RNAcentral is "bacterial SSU rRNA". It matches the Rfam family "Bacterial small subunit ribosomal RNA", at positions 9 to 517 of the family's 1533-position model. The record is from RNAcentral. Lineage: Bacteria; Pseudomonadati; Pseudomonadota; Alphaproteobacteria.
GAGUUUGAUCUUGGCUCAGAACGAACGCUGGCGGCAGGCUUAACACAUGCAAGUCGAGCGCCCCGCAAGGGGAGCGGCAGACGGGUGAGUAACGCGUGGGAAUCUACCCAACUCUACGGAAUAACCCAGGGAAACUUGGACUAAUACCGUAUACGCCCUCCGGGGAAGAUUUAUCGGAGUUGGAUGAGCCCGCGUUGGAUUAGCUAGUUGGUGGGGUAAUGGCCUACCAAGGCGACGAUCCAUAGCUGGUCUGAGAGGAUGAUCAGCCACAUUGGGACUGAGACACGGCCCAAACUCCUACGGGAGGCAGCAGUGGGGAAUAUUGGACAAUGGGCGAAAGCCUGAUCCAGCCAUGCCGCGUGAGUGAUGAAGGCCCUAGGGUUGUAAAGCUCUUUCAACGGUGAAGAUAAUGACGGUAACCGUAGAAGAAGCCCCGGCUAACUUCGUGCCAGCCGCCG